This 424-nucleotide ribosomal RNA is filed under the name uncultured bacterium. RNAcentral describes it as "partial 16S ribosomal RNA". It matches the Rfam family "Bacterial small subunit ribosomal RNA", at positions 360 to 776 of the family's 1533-position model. The record is from RNAcentral.
AAUAUUGGACAAUGUGUGAAAGCCAAAUCUAGCCAGGCAGCGAGAGUGAAGAAGGUCNNNGGAAANACAAGCACUUUUUGGAANGACNAAGGGCCGGAAGUUAAUACCUAGCUGUUCUGACGUUACCAACAGAAUAAAUAUAGGAAAACUCCAUGCCAGCAGCCGCGGUAAUACGAAGGGUGCAAGCGUUAAUCGGAAUUACUGGGCGUAAAGCGCGCGUAGGUGGUUCGUUAAGUUGGAUGUGAAAGCCCCGGGCUCAACCUGGGAACUGCAUCCAAAACUGGCGAGCUAGAGUACGGUAGAGGGUGGUGGAAUUUCCUGUGUAGCGGUGAAAUGCGUAGAUAUAGGAAGGAACAUCAGUGGCGAAGGCGACCACCUGGACUGAUACUGACACUGAGGUGCGAAAGCGUGGGGAGCAAACAGG